Molecule: ribosomal RNA, 253 nt
Filed under: uncultured bacterium
Lineage: Bacteria
Description: partial 16S ribosomal RNA
Rfam family: Bacterial small subunit ribosomal RNA
Source: RNAcentral
UACGAAGGGGGCUAGCGUUGUUCGGAAUUACUGGGCGUAAAGCGCACGUAGGCGGACUUGUAAGUCAGGGGUGAAAUCCCGGGGCUCAACCCCGGAACUGCCUUUGAUACUGCAAGUCUAGAGGUCGAGAGAGGUGAGUGGAAUUCCGAGUGUAGAGGUGAAAUUCGUAGAUAUUCGGAGGAACACCAGUGGCGAAGGCGGCUCACUGGCUCGAUACUGACGCUGAGGUGAGAAAGCGUGGGGAGCAAACAGG